GCCUGGGUAGCUCAGUCGGUUAAGCAUCCGACUUCAGCUUAGGUCAUGAUAUGGCAGUUCGUGGGUUCAAACCCCACGUCGGGCU
This 85-nucleotide transfer RNA is filed under the name Felis catus (domestic cat). It matches the Rfam family "tRNA". Rfam says of the family: Transfer RNA (tRNA) molecules are approximately 80 nucleotides in length. The record is from Rfam by way of RNAcentral. Lineage: Eukaryota; Metazoa; Chordata; Mammalia; Carnivora; Felidae.